AGAUUAAGUUAUUAAGGGCGCACGGUGGAUGCCUUGGCACUAGAAGCCGAUGAAGGACGUUACUAACGACGAUAUGCUUUGGGGAGCUGUAAGUAAGCUUUGAUCCAGAGAUUUCCGAAUGGGGAAACCCAGCACGAGUUAUGU
This 144-nucleotide ribosomal RNA is filed under the name Staphylococcus pseudintermedius. RNAcentral's name for it is "partial 23S ribosomal RNA". It matches the Rfam family "Bacterial large subunit ribosomal RNA", at positions 1 to 143 of the family's 2925-position model. The record is from RNAcentral. Lineage: Bacteria; Bacillati; Bacillota; Bacilli; Caryophanales; Staphylococcaceae.